AUGCACGCUGGCGGCGUGCCUCAUCCAUGCAAGUAGAACGCUGAAGGAGGAGCUUGCUCUUCUGGAUGAGUUGCGAACGGGUGAGUAACGCGUAGGUAACCUGCCUGGUAGCGGGGGAUAACUAUUGGAAACGAUAGCUAAUACCGCAUGACAACAGUUAUUGCAUGAUAACUGUUUAAAAGGGGCAACUGCUCCACUACCAGAUGGACCUGCGUUGUAUUAGCUAGUUGGUGAGGUAACGGCUCACCAAGGCGACGAUACAUAGCCGACCUGAGAGGGUGAUCGGCCACACUGGGACUGAGACACGGCCCAGACUCCUACGGGAGGCAGCAGUAGGGAAUCUUCGGCAAUGGACGGAAGUCUGACCGAGCAACGCCGCGUGAGUGAAGAAGGUUUUCGGAUCGUAAAGCUCUGUUGUAAGAGAAGAACGAGUGUGAGAGUGGAAAGUUCACACUGUGACGGUAGCUUACCAGAAAGGGACGGCUAACUACGUG
Molecule: ribosomal RNA, 494 nt
Filed under: uncultured bacterium
Lineage: Bacteria
Description: partial 16S ribosomal RNA
Rfam family: Bacterial small subunit ribosomal RNA
Source: RNAcentral